Molecule: long non-coding RNA, 351 nt
Filed under: Homo sapiens (human)
Lineage: Eukaryota; Metazoa; Chordata; Mammalia; Primates; Hominidae
Description: non-protein coding TBX2-AS1:16
Source: RNAcentral
GGACACGUUUGCGCAGCCGGUGAGGUGACCAGAUAAUAACCAGGGCAGCUUUCCUUAGCCGGGAACCCAGGUGCCCUGGCAGGAGGGACUGGCUUAUGCCACCCUGUGCAGGAUCGUCUUCUCAGCUUACAGAGCCUAGUGUGAUUCAACAACCCUCCAUCUCUGCCCCCAACAUGCCCAACUGAUCUGGUGGAGGGAACUGAAGAUGAAGGCCUCUCAGGCACCAUGGAUGGGAUGGGUGUGUGUGAAGGGGGCAGGGUCCCCAGGAGCUGCCCCAGGUCUGGCUGGACAGUUGCACGGGAAGUCCUGUUUGUGAACUCAACGUUUCCACGGCUUUUCCAUUAAACUUUA